GUUUUACAAGAGAAAGAGAAAGAAGGGGAGAGAAUAUUUCGUUUAUAUUUUUUUAAAGUCUACAUUUUGUCAUUGUCGUGUUGUGAAUAGAAGAAGUAAAGUACUAUAUUAAUUAGUGAUGCACAUGCUGUAUUUGAUAUAAAAAGUACAAUCGCUAAAACGGAAGAUAUUGUGUUAAAAAAAAAAAAAAAAAAAAAAAUAUAUAUAUAUAUUACGUCUGUUUAAUAUGAAAUUUUCACAUAAAUUAUGUAUUGUUUUUGUGUCAGCGAUACUUUAUUACUUUACUUACAGAUACUUUACAUCUAAUGACGAUGAUGAUGACGAUGAUCAUCAGCAAAACCAGAAUCAAAAUAACAGAUGGAGUCAUAUGAAUGGCAAUCCAAUUGUAAAAGAACAUUAAAGAAAAAAAUAUUAUUGACGUGCGGAUUACACAUAAUCCGUAAAAAUAUAUUUGUCUAUGUGUUGAAAAGAUCUUUUCAACCUCAAGUCAUUUAACCUACGCAUAAUUAUUUUAUAAAACAAGGUAAUUUUUAAUAAAUGUUUAAUGUAAUGACGAAUAGAAAAACUAUGCUAAAUAAUUUUAAUUUUAUUGUUAAUAUGAAAAAGCCUAUUUCAAAUAUAAAUAAUUUUAACUCAACAUUAGU
Cataglyphis hispanica is the source of this 644-nucleotide long non-coding RNA. RefSeq lists it as uncharacterized. The transcript is spliced from 3 exons. Lineage: Eukaryota; Metazoa; Arthropoda; Insecta; Hymenoptera; Formicidae. The record is from RefSeq and is a predicted model, not a curated record.